RNAcentral lists this ribosomal RNA (261 nucleotides) under uncultured bacterium. RNAcentral's name for it is "partial 16S ribosomal RNA". It matches the Rfam family "Bacterial small subunit ribosomal RNA", at positions 92 to 353 of the family's 1533-position model. The record is from RNAcentral.
CGAGUGGCGGACGGGUGAGUAAUGUCUGGGAAACUGCCUGAUGGAGGGGGAGUAACUACUGGAAACGGUAGCUAAUACCGCAUAACGUCGCAAGACCAAAGAGGGGGACCUUCGGGCCUCUUGCCAUCGGAUGUGCCCAAAUGGGAUUAGCUAGUAGGUGGGGUAACGGCUCACCUAGGCGACGAUCCCUAGCUGGUCUGAGAGGAUGACCAGCCACACUGGGACUGAGACACGGCCCAGACUCCUACGGGAGGCAGCAUG